UACGUAGGGGGCAAGCGUUGUCCGGAAUCAUUGGGCGUAAAGCGCGCGUAGGCGGCCCGGUAAGUCCGUUGUGAAAGUCAAAGGCUCAACCUUUGAAAGCCGAUGGAUACUGCCGGGCUAGAGUCCGGAAGAGGCGAGUGGAAUUCCUGGUGUAGCGGUGGAAUGCGCAGAUAUCAGGAGGAACACCAAUAGCGAAGGCAGCUCGCUGGGACGGUACUGACGCUGAGGCGCGAAAGCAUGGGGAGCGAACGGG
Molecule: ribosomal RNA, 253 nt
Filed under: uncultured bacterium
Lineage: Bacteria
Description: partial 16S ribosomal RNA
Rfam family: Bacterial small subunit ribosomal RNA
Source: RNAcentral